CAAAUCGAUGAAUUCGAGCUAAUUAACAACAUAAACAAGACCAAGAUACAUGUCGACAAUAACUAGGCUUAGGAGGAAACCAGUAAAAUCCGAUAAGCAUCAUUAACCCACUGUCAGGCUCCAGGACCCGGCGUAAGCCCGCCCGGUGCGUGCGCAGACCCGCCAUAUGCCUGCACAUAUAAGGCGUCUACAAUAAAAGUGAUAAAUAACCCUGUGACACAAACAUCUAGAGAUAUCAGAGCGAGUAUAUAACUAAGUUUUAUCAACAAGGAGAAUCAAAG
RNAcentral lists this long non-coding RNA (281 nucleotides) under Ananas comosus (pineapple). RNAcentral describes it as "long non-coding RNA (ACOM_LNC040701)". Lineage: Eukaryota; Viridiplantae; Streptophyta; Magnoliopsida; Poales; Bromeliaceae. The record is from RNAcentral.